Molecule: ribosomal RNA, 468 nt
Filed under: uncultured bacterium
Lineage: Bacteria
Description: partial 16S ribosomal RNA
Rfam family: Bacterial small subunit ribosomal RNA
Source: RNAcentral
GACGAACGCUGGCGGCGUGCUUAACACAUGCAAGUCGAACGGAAAGGCCCUGCUUUUGUGGUGCGCUCGAGUGGCGAACGGGUGUGUAACACGUGUGUAACCUGCCCUUGUCUGUGGGAUAACUUCAGGAAACUGGGGCUAAUAUCGGAUAGGAGCUCCUGAUGCAUAGUGGUGGUUGGAAAGUUUCGGCGGGUGGGGAUGGACUCGCGGCUUACUAGCUGGUUGGUGGGGUAGUGGCUGACCAGGCUUUUGACGGGUAGCCGGCCUGGGAGGGUGACCGGCCACAUGGGGACUGGGAGACGGCCCAGCCUCCAACGGGAGGCAGCAGGGGGAAAUAUUGCCCAUUGGGGCGAAGCCUGUGGCGACAACGCCGCGUGCGGAAGAACGGCCUUCGGGUGGAAAACCGCUUUGGCCUGUAACGAGGCGUUAGUGACGGUAAUUAGUAAAGAAGCACCGGCUAACUACGUG